Molecule: ribosomal RNA, 329 nt
Filed under: uncultured eukaryote
Lineage: Eukaryota
Description: partial 18S ribosomal RNA
Rfam family: Eukaryotic small subunit ribosomal RNA
Source: RNAcentral
CCCUUAGAUGUCCUGGGCUGCACGCGCGCUACACUGACGAACUCAACGAGCUUAUCACCUUGGCAGAGAUGUCUGGGUAAUCUUUUGAAAGUUCGUCGUGCUGGGGAUAGAUGAUUGUAAUUAUUCGUCUUGAACGAGGAAUUCCUAGUAAGUGUGAGUCAUCAGCUCGCGCUGAUUACGUCCCUGCCCUUUGUACACACCGCCCGUCGCUCCUACCGAUUGAAUGGUCCGGUGAGGUUCUCGGAUUUUUUCUGUUGUUUGGUUCGCUAAACGAUUGAAGAGAGAAGUUACCCAAACCUUACCAUUUAGAGGAAGGAAAAGUCGUAACA